UGUCAAGGUUGUGGCAAUACUUUAUGACUGC
RNAcentral lists this non-coding RNA (31 nucleotides) under Mus musculus (house mouse). The record is from RNAcentral. Lineage: Eukaryota; Metazoa; Chordata; Mammalia; Rodentia; Muridae.